RNAcentral lists this ribosomal RNA (525 nucleotides) under uncultured bacterium. RNAcentral describes it as "bacterial SSU rRNA". It matches the Rfam family "Bacterial small subunit ribosomal RNA", at positions 355 to 896 of the family's 1533-position model. The record is from RNAcentral.
UGGGGAAUCUUGCGCAAUGGGGGAAACCCUGACGCAGCGACGCCGCGUGGAGGAUGAAGGUCUUCGGGUUGUAAACUCCUUUUCUUGGGGAAAAUGAUGAUGGUACUCAUGGAAUAAGCCACGGCUAACUCUGUGCCAGCAGCCGCGGUAAGACAGAGGUGGCGAGCGUUGUUCGGAAUUACUGGGCUUAAAGGGCGAGUAGGCGGUAGAGCAAGUCUGAGGUGGAAUCCUAUGGCUUAACCAUAGAAUUGCCUUAGAAACUGCUUUACUUGAGUCAGUGAGGGGAGGGCGGAAUUCCUGGUGUAGCGGUGAAAUGCGUAGAUAUCAGGAGGAAGGCCUGUGGCGAAAGCGGCCCUCUGGCACUGUACUGACGCUGAGGCGCGAAAGCGUGGGGAGCAAACAGGAUUAGAUACCCUGGUAGUCCACGCCGUAAACGAUGUCAACUAGGUGUUGGGAUGGUUAAUCGUCUCAUUGCCGCAGCUAACGCAUUAAGUUGACCGCCUGGGGAGUACGGUCGCAAGAUUA